AUUGAACGCUGGCGGAAUGCUUUACACAUGCAAGUCGAACGGCAGCACGGACUUCGGUCUGGUGGCGAGUGGCGAACGGGUGAGUAAUGUAUCGGAACGUGCCCAGUCGUGGGGGAUAACGUAGUGAAAAUUACGCAAAUACCGCAUACGAUCUAUGGAUGAAAGCGGGGGAUCGCAAGACCUCGCGCGAUUGGAGCGGCCGAUAUCAGAUUAGGUAGUUGGUGGGGUAAAGGCCCACCAAGCCAACGAUCUGUAGCUGGUCUGAGAGGACGAACAGCAACACUGGAACUGAGACACGGUCCAGACUCCUACGGGAGGCAGCAGUGGGGAAUUUUGGACAAUGGGCGAAAGCCUGAUCCAGCCAUUCCGCGUGCAGGAUGAAGGCCCUCGGGUUGUAAACUGCUUUUGUACAGAACGAAAAGGUUUCUACUAAUACUAGGAGCUCAUGACGGUACUGUAAGAAUAAGCACCGGCUAACUACGUGCCAGCCGCCGCCGUAA
This 500-nucleotide ribosomal RNA is filed under the name uncultured bacterium. Its description in RNAcentral is "partial 16S ribosomal RNA". It matches the Rfam family "Bacterial small subunit ribosomal RNA", at positions 30 to 523 of the family's 1533-position model. The record is from RNAcentral.